RNAcentral lists this ribosomal RNA (253 nucleotides) under uncultured bacterium. RNAcentral's name for it is "partial 16S ribosomal RNA". It matches the Rfam family "Bacterial small subunit ribosomal RNA", at positions 524 to 776 of the family's 1533-position model. The record is from RNAcentral.
UACGAAAGGGGCAAGCGUUGUUCGGAAUUACUGGGCGUAAAGCGUACGUAGGCGGCUCUGUAAGUUGGGGGUGAAAUCCCGGCGCUCAACGCCGGAACUGCCUUUGAGACUGUAGAGCUGGAGGAUGCGUGAGGUGAGUAGAAGUCCGAGUGUAGAGGUGAAAUUCGUAGAUAUUCGGAAGAACACCAGUGGCGAAGGCGGCUCACUGGGGCAUUUCUGACGCUGAGGUGCGAAAGCGUGGGGAGCAAACAGG